GCAUAUUGAGUUGGUUUAAUUUAUUUGAAUUAAAUAGAGAUAUUAUAAUACUAGGUCUUAUUGGGCCUAAUAAUUAAAUUAGAGGUAUCAUCAUUUAAGCCCAAAUAUAAUACUAGGAUAUAAGAAGUGAGGAGAGUGAGAAGUAGGAUUCAUUUAAUCAUUUGACGACAACAGAGAAAGAAAAGAGGAAAAGUAAGGAGAAGAGGGGAAGAACAAGAGAGAAGCUAAGGUUUCCAAAAAAUUGAAGAGGUAAGGGGGAGAAUCCUUAUUAUUAUG
RNAcentral lists this long non-coding RNA (276 nucleotides) under Lathyrus oleraceus (garden pea). RNAcentral describes it as "Pisum sativum (pea) long non-coding RNA (PSAT_LNC019555)". The record is from RNAcentral. Lineage: Eukaryota; Viridiplantae; Streptophyta; Magnoliopsida; Fabales; Fabaceae.